AUUGAACGCUGGCGGCAGGCCUAACACAUGCAAGUCGAGCGGAUGAAGGGAGCUUGCUCCUGGAUUCAGCGGCGGACGGGUGAGUAAUGCCUAGGAAUCUGCCUGGUAGUGGGGGAUAACGUCCGGAAACGGGCGCUAAUACCGCAUACGUCCUGAGGGAGAAAGUGGGGGAUCUUCGGACCUCGCGCUAUCAGAUGAGCCUAGGUCGGAUUAGCUAGUUGGUGGGGUAAAGGCCUACCAAGGCGACGAUCCGUAACUGGUCUGAGAGGAUGAUCAGUCACACUGGAACUGAGACACGGUCCAGACUCCUACGGGAGGCAGCAGUGGGGAAUAUUGGACAAUGGGCGAAAGCCUGAUCCAGCCAUGCCGCGUGUGUGAAGAAGGUCUUCGGAUUGUAAAGCACUUUAAGUUGGGAGGAAGGGCAGUAAGUUAAUACCUUGCUGUCUUGACGUUACCAACAGAAUAAGCACCGGCUAACUUCGUG
This 484-nucleotide ribosomal RNA is filed under the name uncultured bacterium. RNAcentral describes it as "partial 16S ribosomal RNA". It matches the Rfam family "Bacterial small subunit ribosomal RNA", at positions 30 to 507 of the family's 1533-position model. The record is from RNAcentral.